This 822-nucleotide small RNA is filed under the name Pongo abelii (Sumatran orangutan). RNAcentral's name for it is "processed transcript". The record is from RNAcentral. Lineage: Eukaryota; Metazoa; Chordata; Mammalia; Primates; Hominidae.
AACGGGAUCCCUGCCAAUCGAAUCGUCCUGGGAGGCUUUUCACAGGGCGGGGCCCUGUCCCUCUACACGGCCCUCACCUGCCCCCACCCUCUGGCUGGCAUCGUGGCGUUGAGCUGCUGGCUGCCUCUGCACCGGGCCUUCCCCCAGGUGAAUGUCCCCACUGACCCCCCGCCCUUUGUGUCUGUAUCCUCAUGGCUUGGGGACUGCUGCAGCACUAGCUUUGCCCUGAGUCCUGUCCGGCCCCCAGGCAGCUAAUGGCAGUGCCAAGGACCUGGCCAUCCUCCAGUGCCAUGGGGAGCUGGACCCCAUGGUACCCGUACGGUUUGGGGCCCUGACGGCUGAAAAGCUCCGGUCUGUUGUCACACCUGCCAGGGUCCAGUUCAAGACAUACCCGGGUGUCAUGCACAGCUCCUGUCCUCAGGAGAUGGCAGCUGUGAAGGAAUUUCUUGAGAAGCUGCUGCCUCCUGUCUAACUAGUCGCUGGCCCCAGUGCAGUACCCCAGCUCAUGGGGGACUCAGCAAGCAAGCGUGGCACCAUCUUGGAUCUGAGCCGGUCGAGCCCCUGUCCCCACCCUUCCUGACCUGUCCUUUUCCCACAGGCCUCUGGGGGCAGGUGGCAAGGCCUGGCCGGGCCUUCCUUCCUGGCCUCAGCCACCUGGCUCUGUCUGCAGCAGGGGCAGGCUGCUUUCUUAUCCCAUUUCCCUGGAGGCGGGCCCCCCUGGCAGCAGUAUUGGAGGGGCUACAGGCAGCUGGAGAAAGGGGCCCAGCCGCUGACCCACUCACUCAGGACCUCACUCACUAGCCCCGCUUUGGGCCCCCUCCU